RNAcentral lists this ribosomal RNA (403 nucleotides) under Verrucomicrobiota bacterium. RNAcentral's name for it is "Verrucomicrobia bacterium partial 16S ribosomal RNA". It matches the Rfam family "Bacterial small subunit ribosomal RNA", at positions 355 to 776 of the family's 1533-position model. The record is from RNAcentral. Lineage: Bacteria; Pseudomonadati; Verrucomicrobiota.
UGGGGAAUAUUGCACAAUGGGGGAAACCCUGAUGCAGCGACGCCGCGUGAGCGAAGAAGACCUUCGGGUCGUAAAGCUCUUUUAUAUGGGAAGAUAAUGACGGUACCAUAAGAAAAAGCCCCGGCUAACUACGUGCCAGCAGCCGCGGUAAUACGUAGGGGGCUAGCGUUAUCCGGAUUUACUGGGCGUAAAGGGUGCGUAGGUGGUCUUUCAAGUCGGUGGUUAAAGGCUACGGCUCAACCGUAGUUAGCCUCCGAAACUGGAAGACUUGAGUGCAGGAGAGGAAAGUGGAAUUCCCAGUGUAGCGGUGAAAUGCGUAGAUAUUGGGAGGAACACCAGUAGCGAAGGCGGCUUUCUGGACUGCAACUGACACUGAGGCACGAAAGCGUGGGUAGCAAACAGG